This 367-nucleotide ribosomal RNA is filed under the name uncultured organism. Its description in RNAcentral is "partial 16S ribosomal RNA". It matches the Rfam family "Bacterial small subunit ribosomal RNA", at positions 527 to 896 of the family's 1533-position model. The record is from RNAcentral.
GGAGGGUGCAAGCGUUGUCCGGAUUUAUUGGGUUUAAAGGGUGCGUAGGCGGCCUAUUAAGUCAGUGGUGAAAGGUAUCAGCUUAACUGAUGACGUGCCAUUGAAACUGACAGGCUUGAGUACAGACGAGGUAGGCGGAAUUUAUGGUGUAGCGGUGAAAUGCAUAGAUACCAUAAAGAACACCAAUUGCGAAGGCAGCUUACUAGACUGAGACUGACGCUGAGGCACGAAAGCGUGGGGAGCGAACAGGAUUAGAUACCCUGGUAGUCCACGCUGUAAACGAUGAUUACUGGAUGUGUGCGAUAGACAGUACGCGUCUGAGCGAAAGCGUUAAGUAAUCCACCUGGGGAGUACGAUCGCAAGAUUG